CCUACGGGAGGCAGCAGUGAGGAAUAUUGGUCAAUGGCCGCAGGGCUGAACCAGCCAAGUCGCGUGAGGGAUGACGGUCCUCUGGAUUGUAAACCUCUUCUGUCAGGGAGCAAAGGGCGCCACGUGUGGCGCUUUGCGAGUACCUGAAGAUAAAGCAUCGGCUAACUCUGUGCCAGCAGCCGCGGUAAUCCGGAGGAUGCGAGCGUUAUCCGGAUUUAUUGGGUGUAAGGGGUGCGCAGGCGGAAUGUCAAGUCAGCGGUAAAAUUUCGGGGCUCAACCCCGUCGUGCCGUUGAAACUGGCGUUCUUGAGUGAGCGAGAAGUAUGCGGAAUGCGUGGUGUAGCGGUGAAAUGCAUAGAUAUCACGCAGAACUCCGAUUGCGAAGGCAGCAUACCGGCGCUCAACUGACGCUCAUGCACGAAAGCGUGGGUAUCGAACAGGAUUAGAUACCCGUGUAGUC
This 459-nucleotide ribosomal RNA is filed under the name uncultured bacterium. RNAcentral's name for it is "partial 16S ribosomal RNA". It matches the Rfam family "Bacterial small subunit ribosomal RNA", at positions 338 to 795 of the family's 1533-position model. The record is from RNAcentral.